GACGAACGCUGGCGGCGUGCCUAAUACAUGCAAGUUGAGCGCUGAAGGUUGGUACUUGUACCGACUGGAUGAGCAGCGAACGGGUGAGUAACGCGUGGGGAAUCUGCCUUUGAGCGGGGGACAACAUUUGGAAACGAAUGCUAAUACCGCAUAAAAACUUUAAACACAAGUUUUAAGUUUGAAAGAUGCAAUUGCAUCACUCAAAGAUGAUCCCGCGUUGUAUUAGCUAGUUGGUGAGGUAAAGGCUCACCAAGGCGAUGAUACAUAGCCGACCUGAGAGGGUGAUCGGCCACAUUGGGACUGAGACACGGCCCAAACUCCUACGGGAGGAAGCAGUAGGGAAUCUUCGGCAAUGGACGAAAGUCUGACCGAGCAACGCCGCGUGAGUGAAGAAGGUUUUCGGAUCGUAAAACUCUGUUGGUAGAGAAGAACGUUGGUGAGAGUGGAAAGCUCAUCAAGUGACGGUAACUACCCAGAAAGGGACGGCUAACUACGUG
RNAcentral lists this ribosomal RNA (497 nucleotides) under uncultured bacterium. RNAcentral's name for it is "partial 16S ribosomal RNA". It matches the Rfam family "Bacterial small subunit ribosomal RNA", at positions 28 to 507 of the family's 1533-position model. The record is from RNAcentral.